UGAUCAUGCCCAAAAAAAAUUGCUAUGCUGGUCGCCCUCUUCCACCAUUUUUGCUCAUUAAAAAAUAAUAAAAUAAACAAGCCGACCUUAUUUGUUCAAAAAACUUGGUUCAAUAACUUAACUUGGCGUGUUUAUGAAACAAGUCGAUAUGGAGUAGCUUAAUUUUUUAUACUUAGCGUAUUUAUGAGAAGAGUCGAUCUAGAGUAGCUUAAUUUUUUUCAUAUUCAAACAAGCAGAGUAACUAUUUAUUCAACUUUGGUUUGAAAACUUAAUGAGUUUUAAAAAAGAUGUUCAAACUCGAUCUGUUCAUGUAACAAAUCGGUCUUCAAGGAGUUUUUAACAAACGAACACAAACUCCAACUCAACUAGCUUGGUUCAUUUAUCAGUCCAGUUUGAGUAGCCAUUAUUAUCAUCACGAUCCCCAUCUCAGCCAUUCAUGGCUAUUACGGCCAAACAAACGGAGCCAAUUCCGCAAGUUAAUCUUCCAAAAAGGGUAAACUAGCAGUUAAGAUUUUGAAGUAGAGAUGUCAUAGAACCCUAAGUACAAAGGAAACGUUUUGAUCAAUUUGGCCCAAGAUUCCGGGUUUGCCUGCGUGGAUUAACAAGUUGAUUCUCACCCCACCGCUAACCACCACCACCUCGUGCCAUCUGCCACCCUUCCUCGCCGUCACUGUAUCUGAAAUACUUAUCACAACUCACUUCUGGGAUACCAUACAACAAAACAUUUUGGUUGUUUUGGUGUACCAUUGACAGACUAGCGUUAAUGUCACCUGCAGGAGAAGAUCAACAAAAAAUGUUAAUACCUUUCAUGGAACCAUGACUCUAAUUUUAUCACCAUUCCCUUGGGAAGUUUUCUCUCAACCACACACCUCAGAUUAACAAGAUCUAAAGAAGAUGAAAGGUGAUCCAAUUGUUAUAUUCCGAAUACUUCAUCAUCCACCAAACCACAGUAACCAAAUGUAUAUGUAGUAGUAAGUAAAUAACAGGACUAGGUAAACAAAACACAGGUUAUAUACAAGAACUUGAGCUGGGUUUUAAUUGCAGUUCAAGCCCGCGUCAAAAGCUCUCAAUCAGAAAUAACAUACACUGUUCAUCCUGCCUCCUAUCGAGAGAGAUUUGAUGCAGGCAAAAAUUUGGCAGCAUUGUCUAAGUAACAACUCAUCAAAGCAUUGGUUGAUCAGCCAAAGGAUGUUAUCCCUUUCACAAUAAUAGCCAAACCGGCCACGAAUACUCUGACUCAGAACAGCAGCAAGGGCAAGCUGCAAGUCCACAUAAUUAACAUGAAGUCACAGGCUGCAUCUUCUCAUGAAUUGCCUUGUAGCAUUGAAGGCUGCAGAGGGGGACUUUUGACUUGGAAUCCCGGUACUUG
Molecule: long non-coding RNA, 1369 nt
Organism: Rhododendron vialii
Lineage: Eukaryota; Viridiplantae; Streptophyta; Magnoliopsida; Ericales; Ericaceae
Exons: 2
Source: RefSeq, a predicted model, not a curated record